Molecule: ribosomal RNA, 253 nt
Filed under: uncultured bacterium
Lineage: Bacteria
Description: partial 16S ribosomal RNA
Rfam family: Bacterial small subunit ribosomal RNA
Source: RNAcentral
UACAGAGGGGGCAAGCGUUGUUCGGAAUUACUGGGCGUAAAGGGCGCGUAGGUGGCCUUCUAAGUUGAACGUGAAAUCCCUGGGCUCAACCCAGGAACUGCGUCCAAGACUGGGAGGCUUGAAUCCGGGAGAGGGAUGCGGAAUUCCUGGUGUAGCGGUGAAAUGCGCAGAUAUCAGGAGGAACACCGAUUGCGAAGGCAGCUCGCUGGGACGUCACUGACGCUGAGACGCGAAAGCGUGGGGAGCAAACAGG